UGAACGCUAGCGACAGGCUAACACAUGCAAGUCGAGGGGCGAGCAUAAAAGUAGCAAUACUUGGUGGCGACCGGCGCACGGGUGAGUAACGCGUAUGCAACCUACCUAUCAGAGGGGAAUAACCCGGCGAAAGUCGGACUAAUACCGCAUAAAACAGGGGCACCGCAUGGUGAUAUUUGUUAAAGAAAUUCGCUGAUAGAUGGGCAUGCGUUCCAUUAGGUAGUUGGUGAGGUAACGGCUCACCAAGCCGACGAUGGAUAGGGGAACUGAGAGGUUGGUCCCCCACACUGGUACUGAGACACGGACCAGACUCCUACGGGAGGCAGCAGUGAGGAAUAUUGGUCAAUGGGCGGGAGCCUGAACCAGCCAAGUCGCGUGAAGGAAGAAGGAUCUAUGGUUCGUAAACUUCUUUUGCAGGGGAAUAAAGUGCAGGACGUGUCCUGUUUUGUAUGUACCCUGAGAAUAAGGGUCGGCUAACUCCGUGCCAGCCGCUGC
RNAcentral lists this ribosomal RNA (495 nucleotides) under uncultured bacterium. RNAcentral describes it as "bacterial SSU rRNA". It matches the Rfam family "Bacterial small subunit ribosomal RNA", at positions 30 to 518 of the family's 1533-position model. The record is from RNAcentral.